GAUGAAGAACGUAGUGAAAUGCGAUAAGUAAUGUGAAUUGCAGAAUUCAGUGAAUCAUCGAAUCUUUGAACGCACAUUGCGCCCGCCAGUAUUCUGGCGGGCAUGCCUGUCCGAGCGUCAUUUCAACCCUCGAACCCCUCCGGGGGGUCGGCGUUGGGGAUCGGGAACCCCUAAGACGGGAUCCCGGCCCCGAAAUACAGUGGCGGUCUCGCCGCAGCCUCUCCUGCGCAGUAGUUUGCACAACUCGCACCGGGAGCGCGGCGCGUCCACGUCCGUAAAACACCCAACUUUCUGAAAUGUUGACCUCGGAUCAGGUAGGAAUACCCGCUGAACUUAAGCAUAUCAAUAAGCGGAGGA
This 357-nucleotide unclassified non-coding RNA is filed under the name soil metagenome. RNAcentral's name for it is "partial contains 5.8S ribosomal RNA, internal transcribed spacer 2, and large subunit ribosomal RNA". The stretch from base 1 to 120 matches the Rfam family "5.8S ribosomal RNA", at positions 35 to 154 of the family's 154-position model. The record is from RNAcentral.